UCAUAUAUAACAAAAUUAAGAACUGAACUUUAUUGAAUGUUAAUAAUCCACUUCAAUUACAAAAUCAUUUGAAUAAGAAAGAUUACAUGCGGAUAGCAACAAUACCUAUUGAUCUAAAUCUACAUAUCACUGCAUUCUCAUUGCUCCUUGAGGAACUUUGAGCCAUGUUCCAUUCUUUGCUGGUCGAAUACACCGUGUAGCAGCUUGCAAGCUUGUUUUCCAGAAUGUCUUCUUGCUCUGCCAAUUCUCCAGUUGACUCGAGAGUUCUUUUGAGCCAAAGCUGCAACUAUGAUCUCCCUGAGAUAAUCUGACCAGUGCAAAGCAAAAAAACCAGUAGUUGAGGAGCACUUGAAUCUAUCAUCCAAACAUCAUUCUGCUUUCUGUUAUUGUCAAUAACAUAAGACAAUGUAUGCAACUAGGAAACAAAGAAGUUGGACCAAAAUGCCUAGGGCAAUAAUACUUAUAUAACAACACAUCAAAUACUUAACUGCCAAUAAUAGAGUAUUGACCCCACUUUUUUUAUUUAUUUGAUCUGAGCAAGAACCUUAUACCAAAAAAAUCUGAAGCCAAAUACAGAACAAUACAUCUAUGACAUAGGUAAGUUGCCCCUUUUUUUCCUUUUUCAUCUUUUGGUCAGGAUGUAGGCAUGCACUUUCUCUUUUUCUCUCAAAAAAGAAGAAGGAUGUAGGCAUGCAGAGAUUGAAGGAAAUAUAACACUAGAGAAGCACAACAGAUCAAGCUAAUACACAUCAAAUAAAACUCGCCUUUUACUUAUAACUUAAUACCAAUUAACUUAUACUUGGAACCUGCCGAGUCCAAUACCAGAAUCUAUGGUAGAACAAGUUUGAUAGAAUUUACCAAUAACUUUUGACUUAUGAAUUCAAAGACAACCCAACACUUUAUAUUCAGUCCUUAACGAUCAAGAACCAAGCUUACAUGAUUAAGGUAUUAAUUCAAUACCUUCCAACUUCUUUGAACUACUGCUCUUGUGACUUAAAAAGAUGAUCUUGUCAUCUAGCAAACUUUAAUUACUAUCACAACAUCAAUAUGCUAUAACAAUACACCCAGACCCAUACUCAAAAGAUCACAACCAGUCUUCCAAAGUAUGAUUAAAUGGGUAUAUACCUUUAAUUGAAAGCAACCAGAGGAUGGCCUUAAGUUUCUGGCUUCCUUCACAGCAACAAACAGAGUCCUCCCGUGGUUCACCUCCUCCACCACCUCACCAAUUCUGAUAACAAGUAUACCCAAACCUCAAAUUCAAUCUCAAUCCAUUUAAAUGAUCGAGAAAAUGACCCAAAAGGUAUCCAAAUACCCAUGUACAUGCCGAAAUGUGUAAUGCACCUUUGACUUAAAAACUCUAAUUGACAAAAGAAAAUUUGGUCAAAAUCCUAAUAGAUUUCUACAUAAGAAUAAUACUAUGGGGAGUAAUUGAAUUACAACGUAGGUUGUAGUAAUAACUAAACAUCCUUUCAUGCAGAAAAAAGUUGUACAAGCCCUGCAUAGGAACGCCGAAGAACUUCUCUUGUUGAUUUAAAUUGACACCCGGGACAAAAAGUGAAAAAUGAAAAAGACAACUGAUACAAAACUGAUGGUUUACAGAUCAAUGGCUUACUAAGUCAGAAAAAGAUAACUUUUAAUUAUUAUUGGGACAUGGACAUUGUAAAAAGGAUGAGUAAUACAUGAUUUUCUUAUACGACAACCGGAUCACUACCUUUGUGUCUUAGUAGGUAGCCUGAUGCAAAAUUAACAGAGUUAUAAGUUAAGUAUUGAAACCACAUUGGCCAAGUAUUGAUACCGACAUGGCAAAUGCUCAUUAUUCCUACUACAUAUUUGUGCAUUGUUCUGAUUUAUCUAUUGUAUUCAAGUACAUGAAUGUCUAAAUUGACUAUCAUCUAGACAUAUACUGGUUCCCUAGAAAUAUAUAGGCAUUCGUGUUGCACUAUAUAUAAACAAAACCAAAUAUGGAAGAAACAAAACAAGAAAAUGAUGACCCGAAGUGGAAAAAUUGUGCCUCUGUAGAAAUCUAACGGGAUGUAUAAAUGAGGAGGCAAACACAUUGGUAAUAAAAGUUCCUAUAAACCACCUGAUCAACUUUAGCCUUCGCAGAGAUCUAAACUUGUUGAGCACUUCAUACUCAUAAUUGAGAACUUCGCAGCUUUGAUUGUCGUUGAAGAAGCAAGCAAGGGCAGAAGCGCCGGAAGGCAGAAAAACAACCCAGAAAAGAGAAAAAUAAAUCCAACCAAAUACGAAAGCUAAACAUAGCGGAAUGUCGAGAAAUAAGAAACCCCAAAUCUAUAACCCAAUUGGUAGAAAUCCCAAAUCGUAAACCUUAGAUCCCAAAACAAAGAAAUGUCAAAAACCCUAACUGCUAGCAACGAUUUACGAAGAGGAACAAUCACAAAUACACAACUCAAAAACCCCAAAUUGUAAACCCAGAUCCCAAAACAAAUCAAAUUCGAAAACCCUAGAUAGAGAGUCUUACCAGCUAGCGAGGAGUAGAGCUAUGAAUGAGAGCUCAGAGUCAUCGAGAGGCGGAGAGGGAAGAAACGUGUUCUGAGAGAGGGAGAGAAAGUGGCGUCGAGAGAGAAAAGAGAUGGUCUUCUUGAUGAACUCCACAGAUUCGGCAAAUGAAGAUGUGGAUGGUGAAUUGGUGGGUAGGAGGGCUGACGGCAGCGGAGAGAGGGUUGGGAGGGCUGACGGCAGCGGAGAGAUGGUUGAGCGUCGAUGCAGGAGCCCCUCUCGCCUCAGUCUCUCUUUCCCUCUCGAACUGAAAUGGAAGAGGCUGGGGUUUCUUACCCUCGUAAGUGUUGACCCAACGGUUCAGAUGAGAAAAGAAAGGAUGUAGGGCUAGGAUUAAUUGUUGCCUUUAAAAAUUAGAAAUAGUUGACCAGCAUCUUGCUAACCCCUAACCUCUAAACUUAGCUUUUUUUUAUUCACCAAAGAAUUAAAACCUACUAAUGUAAUACAUGUUUACUAGCUAGGUUACAUCUAAACGUAUAUCAUUAUAAACCAAUUAUAUGGACGAAAUAAAAUUUGCAAAAUUUGAUUGUACGAUGUGAUCACAAUAGUCAAUUAUGUGUACAAUAGCAAACUUACCUAUUUUCGAUAACGUUUGGGUCUCAAUCGCAUGGGUCAACUUUAUUUACGUUUAAACUUCCAUGUGCUUCCUUAUGAGGAACUAUAUAAUCGGUUUAUAAAUAUGUCCAAAUUUUUACAAGGAUCAGUUUCGCCAAUACUCAAUGAGAGUUUGAGUAUUGAGGAAUCAAAAAUAUAAGUUUCGGUCGAAGUAGAUAAGAGCG
RNAcentral lists this long non-coding RNA (3299 nucleotides) under Fragaria vesca (wild strawberry). Its description in RNAcentral is "long non-coding RNA (FVES_LNC000917)". Lineage: Eukaryota; Viridiplantae; Streptophyta; Magnoliopsida; Rosales; Rosaceae. The record is from RNAcentral.